Suncus etruscus (white-toothed pygmy shrew) is the source of this 321-nucleotide small nucleolar RNA. NCBI's taxonomy places the organism in Eukaryota, Metazoa, Chordata, Mammalia, Eulipotyphla, Soricidae. The record is from RefSeq and is a predicted model, not a curated record.
GUCAUGUGAUGAUAUCAAGGCUGUGGUGAUUCAGUUGGUUUGACCAAGUCCAGGGACCUUUGACUCUGGUCUGUAAUCUUGGUGGAUAAUACAGAGCUCUGUGUGUUCGCUGUAAGGGCAGACCAAUAAGAUAAUCUUUCUACUUCUGAAUGAACUGUCUUUACUAGAGGCUGUUCUUCCAGUUAUCAGGAAGAAACUGAUAACUGGAGUGAGACAGUAGGGACAUGGUAUAUUCGGGAAUUGGGUUGGGGGCUCCUAAAGGACUUGGCUUGUAUUGUGACCACUGAGAGAUGAACACAGAUCUUUAAAAAUUUUUUCAAA